RNAcentral lists this long non-coding RNA (258 nucleotides) under Amborella trichopoda. Its description in RNAcentral is "long non-coding RNA (ATRI_LNC001382)". Lineage: Eukaryota; Viridiplantae; Streptophyta; Magnoliopsida; Amborellales; Amborellaceae. The record is from RNAcentral.
AGAGAGAGAGAGAGAGGAACGAAAGAAUGAAUAUGAGGCCGUGAAGAAAGCCUCUGCUCUUUGCAAAAGGCUCUCCACACGCCACAGGGAAGAAAAGGAGAAGACCUCUCUCUCUCUAAUAAAGAAAAAAAGGCCUCCUAGGGUUUCUUUAAUUUCUUAUUAGAAAGGAACAGAGGAAGAGAGAGAGAGUUCUGAAAACAAAAGCCUGUUUCAAUGAAAACAACUUCAUUAUACUGGUAUAUAUAUGAUGAGCGAAAC